Molecule: ribosomal RNA, 484 nt
Filed under: uncultured bacterium
Lineage: Bacteria
Description: partial 16S ribosomal RNA
Rfam family: Bacterial small subunit ribosomal RNA
Source: RNAcentral
AUUGAACGCUGGCGGCAGGCCUAACACAUGCAAGUCGAGCGGAUGAAGGGAGCUUGCUCCUGGAUUCAGCGGCGGACGGGUGAGUAAUGCCUAGGAAUCUGCCUGGUAGUGGGGGAUAACGUCCGGAAACGGGCGCUAAUACCGCAUACGUCCUGAGGGAGAAAGUGGGGGAUCUUCGGACCUCACGCUAUCAGAUGAGCCUAGGUCGGUUUAGCUAGUUGGUGGGGUAAAGGCCUACCAAGGCGACGAUCCGUAACUGGUCUGAGAGGAUGAUCAGUCACACUGGAACUGAGACACGGUCCAGACUCCUACGGGAGGCAGCAGUGGGGAAUAUUGGACAAUGGGCGAAAGCCUGAUCCAGCCAUGCCGCGUGUGUGAAGAAGGUCUUCUGAUUGUAAAGCACUUUAAGUUGGGAGGAAGGGCAGUAAGUUAAUACCUUGCUGUUUUGACGUUACCAACAGAAUAAGCACCGGCUAACUUCGUG